UAACACAUGCAAGUCGAGCGGUAACAGAUCUAGCUUGCUAGAUGCUGACGAGCGGCGGACGGGUGAGUAACGCGUAGGAAUCUACCCAGUAGCGGUGGAUAAGCCAGAGAAAUUUGGUCUAAUACCGCAUACGCCCCUCGGGGGAAAGCAGGGGCUCUUCGGACCUUGCACUAUUGGAUGAGCCUGCGUGAGAUUAGCUAGUUGGUGAGGUAAUGGCUCACCAAGGCGACGAUCUCUAGCUGGUCUGAGAGGAUGAUCAGCCACACUGGGACUGAGACACGGCCCAGACUCCUACGGGAGGCAGCAGUGGGGAAUAUUGCACAAUGGGCGCAAGCCUGAUGCAGCCAUGCCGCGUGUGUGAAGAAGGCCCUAGGGUUGUAAAGCACUUUCAGUCGUGAGGAAAGGUGUGUGCUUAAUACGUACAUACUGUGACGUUAGCGACAGAAGAAGGACCGGCUAACUCCGUGCCAGCAGCCGCGGUAAUACGGAGGGUCCGAGCGUUAAUCGGAAUUACUGGGCGUAAAGCGCGCGUAGGUGGAUUGGUCAGUCAGAUGUGAAAGCCCAGGGCUCAACCUUGGAACUGCAUCUGAUACUGCUAGUCUAGAAUACAGUAGAGGGUAGUGGAAUUUCCUGUGUAGCGGUGAAAUGCGUAGAUAUAGGAAGGAACACCAGUGGCGAAGGCGACUACCUGGACUGAUAUUGACACUGAGGUGCGAAAGCGUGGGGAGCAAACAGGAUUAGAUACCCUGGUAGUCCACGCCGUAAACGAUGUCUACUAGCCGUUGGAAGACUUGAUCUUUUAGUGGCGAAGCUAACGCGAUAAGUAGACCGCCUGGGGAGUACGGCCGCAAGGUUAAAACUCAAAUGAAUUGACGGGGGCCCGCACAAGCGGUGGAGCAUGUGGUUUAAUUCGACGCAACGCGAAGAACCUUACCAACUCUUGACAUCCAGAGAAGAGGCUAGAGAUAGCUUUGUGCCUUCGGGAGCUCUGAGACAGGUGCUGCAUGGCUGUCGUCAGCUCGUGUUGUGAAAUGUUGGGUUAAGUCCCGUAACGAGCGCAACCCUUGUCCUUAUUUGCCAGCACGUAAUGGUGGGAACCCUAAGGAGACUGCCGGUGACAAACCGGAGGGAAGGUGGGGACGACGUCAAGUCAUCAUGGCCCUUACGAGUUGGGCUACACACGUGCUACAAUGGCCGGUACAGAGGGCUGCAAACCUGCGAAGGUAAGCUAAUCUCACAAAACCGGUCGUAGUCCGGAUUGGAGUCUGCAACUCGACUCCAUGAAGUCGGAAUCGCUAGUAAUCGUGGAUCAGAACGCCACGGUGAAUACGUUCCCGGGCCUUGUACACACCGCCCGUCACACCAUGGGAGUGGAUUGCACCAGAAGUAGCUAGCUUAACCUUCGGGAGGGCGGUUACCACGGUGUGGUUCAUGACUGGGGUG
This 1443-nucleotide ribosomal RNA is filed under the name uncultured Neptunomonas sp. Its description in RNAcentral is "bacterial SSU rRNA". It matches the Rfam family "Bacterial small subunit ribosomal RNA". Lineage: Bacteria; Pseudomonadati; Pseudomonadota; Gammaproteobacteria; Oceanospirillales; Oceanospirillaceae. The record is from RNAcentral.